Molecule: ribosomal RNA, 253 nt
Filed under: uncultured bacterium
Lineage: Bacteria
Description: partial 16S ribosomal RNA
Rfam family: Bacterial small subunit ribosomal RNA
Source: RNAcentral
CACGUAGGGCGCGAGCGUUGUCCGGAAUUAUUGGGCGUAAAGAGCUCGUAGGCGGUUUGUCGCGUCUGCUGUGAAAACUCAGGGCUUAACUCUGAGCUUGCAGUGGGUACGGGCAGACUAGAGUGCGGUAGGGGAGACUGGAAUUCCUGGUGUAGCGGUGAAAUGCGCAGAUAUCAGGAGGAACACCGGUGGCGAAGGCGGGUCUCUGGGCCGUAACUGACGCUGAGGAGCGAAAGCAUGGGGAGCGAACAGG